GAGUUUGAUCAUGGCUCAGGACGAACGCUGGCGGCGUGCUUAACACAUGCAAGUCGAACGGUGACCUCAAGAGCUUGCUUUUGAGCGAUCAGUGGCGAACGGGUGAGUAACACGUGAGUAACCUGCCCCAGACUCUGGAAUAACAUCUGGAAACAGUUGCUAAUACCGGAUACGACACGAACAGGCAUCUGUAUCGUGUGGAAAGAUUUAUCGGUCUGGGAUGGACUCGCGGCCUAUCAGCUUGUUGGUGAGGUAACGGCUCACCAAGGCGACGACGGGUAGCCGGCCUGAGAGGGCGACCGGCCACACUGGGACUGAGACACGGCCCAGACUCCUACGGGAGGCAGCAGUGGGGAAUAUUGCACAAUGGGCGCAAGCCUGAUGCAGCGACGCCGCGUGAGGGAUGACUGCCUUCGGGUUGUAAACCUCUUUCAGUAGGGAAGAAGCGAAAGUGACGGUACCUACAGAAGAAGCACCGGCUAACUACGUGCCAGCAGCCGCGGUAAUACGUAGGGUGCGAGCGUUGUCCGGAAUUAUUGGGCGUAAAGAGCUUGUAGGCGGUUUGUCGCGUCUGCUGUGAAAAUCCGAGGCUCAACCUCGGACUUGCAGUGGGUACGGGCAGACUAGAGUGUGGUAGGGGAGACUGGAAUUCCUGGUGUAGCGGUGAAAUGCGCAGAUAUCAGGAGGAACACCGAUGGCGAAGGCAGGUCUCUGGGCCCACUACUGACGCUGAGAAGCGAAAGCAUGGGUAGCGAACAGGAUUAGAUACCCUGGUAGUCCAUGCCGUAAACGUUGGGCGCUAGGUGUGGGACUCAUUCCACGAGUUCCGUGCCGCAGCUAACGCAUUAAGCGCCCCGCCUGGGGAGUACGGCCGCAAGGCUAAAACUCAAAGGAAUUGACGGGGGCCCGCACAAGCGGCGGAGCAUGUGGAUUAAUUCGAUGCAACGCGAAGAACCUUACCAAGGCUUGACAUAUACCGGAAACACCUAGAGAUAGGUGCCCCGCAAGGUCGGUAUACAGGUGGUGCAUGGUUGUCGUCAGCUCGUGUCGUGAGAUGUUGGGUUAAGUCCCGCAACGAGCGCAACCCUCGUUCUAUGUUGCCAGCGCGUAAUGGCGGGGACUCAUAGAAGACUGCCGGGGUCAACUCGGAGGAAGGUGGGGAUGACGUCAAAUCAUCAUGCCCCUUAUGUCUUGGGCUUCACACAUGCUACAAUGGCCGGUACAAUGGGCUGCGAAAUCGCGAGAUGGAGCGAAUCCCAAAAAACCGGUCUCAGUUCGGAUUGGGGUCUGCAACUCGACCCCAUGAAGUCGGAGUCGCUAGUAAUCGCAGAUCAGCAACGCUGCGGUGAAUACGUUCCCGGGCCUUGUACACACCGCCCGUCAAGUCACGAAAGUCGGUAACACCCGAAGCCGGUGGCCCAACCUUUUGGAGGGAGCCGUCGAAGGUGGGACUGGUGAUUGGGACUAAGUCGUAACAAGGUA
This 1482-nucleotide ribosomal RNA is filed under the name uncultured bacterium. RNAcentral's name for it is "16S ribosomal RNA". It matches the Rfam family "Bacterial small subunit ribosomal RNA". The record is from RNAcentral.